Molecule: transfer RNA, 72 nt
Filed under: Bos taurus (domestic cattle)
Lineage: Eukaryota; Metazoa; Chordata; Mammalia; Artiodactyla; Bovidae
Also listed under: 1 other name
Rfam family: tRNA
About the family: Transfer RNA (tRNA) molecules are approximately 80 nucleotides in length. Their secondary structure includes four short double-helical elements and three loops (D, anti-codon, and T loops).
Source: Rfam by way of RNAcentral
UCCCUGAUAGCUCAGUUGGUAAAGAAUCUGCCUACAAUGCAGGAGACACAGGUUCGAUCCCUGGGUUGGGAA